AUCGCUUCUCGGUCUUUUGGCAAGAUCAAGUGUAGUAUUUGUUUUUAUUGGUUUAAUAUGUGAUACAUUUUCUCAUUAGAGGAUAGUAUAUUAAAUAGGUUCUUGGAGUAGGGAGUUGGAAUAUGGAGUUUGCUUUGUCCACUAUCACGCAUGGACUUGGUAUUACAGUACUUUCAGAAAUGGUGCACUCUUU
Molecule: small nuclear RNA, 193 nt
Organism: Hippopotamus amphibius kiboko
Lineage: Eukaryota; Metazoa; Chordata; Mammalia; Artiodactyla; Hippopotamidae
Product: U2 spliceosomal RNA
Exons: 1
Source: RefSeq, a predicted model, not a curated record